Molecule: ribosomal RNA, 641 nt
Filed under: bacterium Ri.J12
Lineage: Bacteria
Description: bacterial SSU rRNA
Rfam family: Bacterial small subunit ribosomal RNA
Source: RNAcentral
CCUAUCAUGCAGUCGAGCGGACAGAAGGGAGCUUGCUCCCGGAUGUUAGCGGCGGACGGGUGAGUAACACGUGGGUAACCUGCCUGUAAGACUGGGAUAACUCCGGGAAACCGGAGCUAAUACCGGAUAGUUCCUUGAACCGCAUGGUUCAAGGAUGAAAGACGGUUUCGGCUGUCACUUACAGAUGGACCCGCGGCGCAUUAGCUAGUUGGUGAGGUAACGGCUCACCAAGGCGACGAUGCGUAGCCGACCUGAGAGGGUGAUCGGCCACACUGGGACUGAGACACGGCCCAGACUCCUACGGGAGGCAGCAGUAGGGAAUCUUCCGCAAUGGACGAAAGUCUGACGGAGCAACGCCGCGUGAGUGAUGAAGGUUUUCGGAUCGUAAAGCUCUGUUGUUAGGGAAGAACAAGUGCAAGAGUAACUGCUUGCACCUUGACGGUACCUAACCAGAAAGCCACGGCUAACUACGUGCCAGCAGCCGCGGUAAUACGUAGGUGGCAAGCGUUGUCCGGAAUUAUUGGGCGUAAAGGGCUCGCAGGCGGUUUCUUAAGUCUGAUGUGAAAGCCCCCGGCUCAACCGGGGAGGGUCAUUGGAAACUGGGAAACUUGAGUGCAGAAGAGGAGAGUGGAAUUCCACGU